CCAGUAAUGGUGGGAAAUUUAAGGAGACCGCCGGUGACAAACCGGAGGAAGGUGGGGAUGACGUCAAGUCAUCAUGGCCCUUACGACCAGGGCUACACACGUACUACAAUGGUAGGGACAGAGGGGUGCAAACCCGCGAGGGCAAGCCAAUCCCAGAAACCCUAUUUCAGUCCGGAUUGGAGUUUGCAACUUGAAUCCAUGAAGUUGGAAUCGCUAGUAAUCGCAGAUCAGCAUUGUUGCGGUGAAUACGUUCCCGGGCCUUGUACACACCGCCCGUCACACCAUGGGAGUUUGUUGCACCAGAAGCAGGUAGCUUAACCU
This 321-nucleotide ribosomal RNA is filed under the name Stenotrophomonas maltophilia. Its description in RNAcentral is "bacterial SSU rRNA". It matches the Rfam family "Bacterial small subunit ribosomal RNA", at positions 1121 to 1441 of the family's 1533-position model. Lineage: Bacteria; Pseudomonadati; Pseudomonadota; Gammaproteobacteria; Lysobacterales; Lysobacteraceae. The record is from RNAcentral.